AUGCAGCUGCAACCAUUCAGCAACAAAAUGAAUGUACUUCAGGGAGCAAGCAUGUCAGAACCUGACCCACAAAACGUCGAGUUUCUUCAGUUAGCUGUAUCAGUUCUGAAAACGGUUUGUGGAAUCGGAUGGCCAUCAGCGCUCGGGUUAAACCUCGCUCGACGGCUUGAGAUUGCUCAAGACACAAGAACUAUAGUGGGGCGUUUUGGAGCUCGGCCUCCAUGGAGGCCGAAAUGUUUGAAAAAUUCAAAAUUCAAACAUUCUAGUUUCAAAAAAGUCGUACAAGUAUGCAAGGAUGUGAUGUGUAUGUGUGUAAAAUUUCAGGAUGAAAUACCUUGA
RNAcentral lists this ribosomal RNA (339 nucleotides) under Triticum aestivum (bread wheat). RNAcentral's name for it is "partial small subunit ribosomal RNA". The record is from RNAcentral. Lineage: Eukaryota; Viridiplantae; Streptophyta; Magnoliopsida; Poales; Poaceae.